UGCAGUCGAACGGGAAGCUCAGAACCUAGUUUUGAGUGGAGAGUGGCGCACGGGUGAGUAACACGUAACUGACCUGCCCUGGAGAGCGGGAUAACGCGCUGAAAAGCGCGCUAAUACCGCAUAAGCUCACGCGAGUUAGAGAGGCGUGAGAAAAUGCUGAGGCGCUUCAGGAUGGGGUUGCGGUCCAUCAGCUAGUUGGUGCGGUAACGGCGCACCAAGGCGACAACGGAUAGGGGACCUGAGAGGGUGACCCCCCACACUGGGACUGAGACACGGCCCAGACUCCUACGGGAGGCAGCAGUGAGGAAUAUUGCACAAUGGGCGCAAGCCUGAUGCAGCGACGCCGCGUGGGUGAUGAAGGUUUUCGAAUCGUAAAGCCCUUUUCUUGGUGACGAGGAAGGACGGUAACCAAGGAAUAAGUGUCGGCUAACUACGUGCCAGCAGCCGCGGUAAAACGUAGGACGCAAGCGUUAUCCGGAAUUACUGGGCGUAAAGCGCGCGCAGGCGGGCUGGUCAGUCAGCUAUGAAAGCUCCCGGCUAAACUGGGAGAGGAUGGUUGAAACUGCCAGUCUGGAGUACAGCAGAGGAACGUGGAAUUCCGCGUGUAGUGGUGAAAUGCGUAGAGAUGCGGAGGAACACCAGUGGCGAAGGCGGCGUUCUGGGCUGCUACUGACGCUGAGGCGCGAAAGCAUGGGGAGCGAACGGGAUUAGAAACCCCGGUAGUCCAUGCCGUANACGAUGCACACUAAACGUUCGCAAGGCUACGGUCUUGUGAGUGUUGAAGCAAACGCGAUAAGUGUGCCGCCUGGGGAGUACGGUCGCAAGGCUAAAACUCAAAGGAAUUGA
RNAcentral lists this ribosomal RNA (846 nucleotides) under uncultured marine bacterium. RNAcentral's name for it is "bacterial SSU rRNA". It matches the Rfam family "Bacterial small subunit ribosomal RNA", at positions 56 to 913 of the family's 1533-position model. The record is from RNAcentral.